UACAUGCAUGUGGAUGUGUGGUGUGUAC
RNAcentral lists this non-coding RNA (28 nucleotides) under Mus musculus (house mouse). The record is from RNAcentral. Lineage: Eukaryota; Metazoa; Chordata; Mammalia; Rodentia; Muridae.